UGGCGUAAAAUUUAAUAUUUUAGCCAUUUAUUUAUUUUAGAGUGGGGCCACGACAAAAGUUGGGUCUUACGCAAUGGAAACUCAUGAACCCCGUCAGGUCCGGAAGGAAGCAGCGGUAAGUGAUAAUUUUUAUGUGCCGUGAGGUCGCCUGACUUUUGUUGUGGCCCGACGCUAAAAUGAUAAAUGCAUAUAGUAAGCAA
Pelosinus sp. is the source of this 200-nucleotide non-coding RNA. It matches the Rfam family "Bacterial large signal recognition particle RNA". Rfam says of the family: The signal recognition particle (SRP) is a universally conserved ribonucleoprotein involved in the co-translational targeting of proteins to membranes. Archaeal SRP consists of a 7S RNA and homologues of the eukaryotic SRP19 and SRP54 proteins. In most bacteria, the SRP consists of a 4.5S RNA and the Ffh protein (a homologue of the eukaryotic SRP54 protein). The record is from Rfam. Lineage: Bacteria; Bacillati; Bacillota; Negativicutes; Selenomonadales; Sporomusaceae.